GAUGAACGCUGGCGGCGUGCCUAAUACAUGCAAGUCGAGCGAACAGACGAGGAGCUUGCUCCUCUGACGUUAGCGGCGGACGGGUGAGUAACACGUGGAUAACCUACCUAUAAGACUGGGAUAACUUCGGGAAACCGGAGCCAAUACCGGAUAAUAUAUUGAACCGCAGGGUUCAAUAGUGAAAGACGGUUUUGCUGUCACUUAGAGAUGGAUCCGCGCCGCAUUAGCUAGUUGGUAAGGUAACGGCUUACCAAGGCGACGAUGCGGAGCCGACCUGAGAGGGUGAUCGGCCACACUGGAACUGAGACACGGUCCAGACUCCUACGGGAGGCAGCAGUGGGGAAUCUUCCGCAAUGGGCGAAAGCCUGACGGAGCAACGCCGCGUGAGUGAUGAAGGUCUUCGGAUCGUAAAACUCUGUUAUUAGGAAAGAACAAAUGUGUAAGUAACUAUGCACGUCUUGACGGUACCUAAUCAGAAAGCCACGGCUAACUACGUG
Molecule: ribosomal RNA, 497 nt
Filed under: uncultured bacterium
Lineage: Bacteria
Description: partial 16S ribosomal RNA
Rfam family: Bacterial small subunit ribosomal RNA
Source: RNAcentral